AUUGAACGCUGGCGGCAGGCCUAACACAUGCAAGUCGAGCGAGCGGCGGACGGGUGAGUAAUGUCUGGGAAACUGCCCGAUGGAGGGGGAUAACUACUGGAAACGGUAGCUAAUACCGCAUACCAUCGGAUGUACCCAUAUGGGAUUAUCUAGUAGGUGGGGUAACGGCUCACCUAGGCGACGAUCACUAGCUGGUCUGAGAGGAUGAACAGCCACACUGGAACUGAGACACGGUCCAGACUCCUACGGGAGGCAGCAGUGGGGAAUAUUGCACAAUGGGCGCAAGCCUGAUGCAGCCAUGCCGCGUGUAUGAAGAAGGCCUUCGGGUUGUAAAGUACUUUCAGCGGGGAGGCGUUACUCGCAGAAGAAGCACCGGCUAACUCCGUGCCAGCAGCCGCGGUAAUAC
RNAcentral lists this ribosomal RNA (406 nucleotides) under uncultured bacterium. Its description in RNAcentral is "partial 16S ribosomal RNA". It matches the Rfam family "Bacterial small subunit ribosomal RNA", at positions 30 to 526 of the family's 1533-position model. The record is from RNAcentral.